GCCGGUAUAGCUCAGUUGGUAGAGCAACUGAUUUGUAUUCAGUAGGUCCCGAGUUCGAAUCUUGGUGCCGGCACCA
This 76-nucleotide transfer RNA is filed under the name Lysobacterales bacterium. Its description in RNAcentral is "tRNA-Thr". It matches the Rfam family "tRNA". From Rfam's summary of the family: Transfer RNA (tRNA) molecules are approximately 80 nucleotides in length. Their secondary structure includes four short double-helical elements and three loops (D, anti-codon, and T loops). The record is from RNAcentral. Lineage: Bacteria; Pseudomonadati; Pseudomonadota; Gammaproteobacteria; Lysobacterales.